RNAcentral lists this unclassified non-coding RNA (261 nucleotides) under Hevea brasiliensis (rubber tree). Lineage: Eukaryota; Viridiplantae; Streptophyta; Magnoliopsida; Malpighiales; Euphorbiaceae. The record is from RNAcentral.
GAGAAGGGCGACCGCGACGCGCAGGCUGCGCUUGAGAUUGGGUACUCGCAUCGUCAUCGUUACUAUCCUUGUCCCAUCUCAGUCGGUGAUGAAGCCGUAAGUGCCGCGAUACUUGCGGCCGGGCUCCGCGCGNNNNNNNGCGGUUGAUGUUGCCAAGAAGGUCCGACUGCGGGUCCGCAGCGUCGGCGAAGCCGUCGUCAGGACGCGACAGAUCCUUCUGCGCGACCGCGCGGACUACGAACGGCGUCACCAGCACCAUCA